This 323-nucleotide ribosomal RNA is filed under the name uncultured eukaryote. RNAcentral's name for it is "partial 18S ribosomal RNA". It matches the Rfam family "Eukaryotic small subunit ribosomal RNA", at positions 1470 to 1796 of the family's 1831-position model. The record is from RNAcentral.
CCCUUAGAUGUCCUGGGCCGCACGCGCGCUACACUGACAUGUUCAACAAACCUCCUAGUUCGACAGGAUUUGGGAAAUCUUUGAACGCAUGUCGUGAUAGGGAUAGAUUAUUGCAAUUAUUAAUCUUGAACGAGGAAUUCCUAGUAAACGCAAAUCAUCAAUUUGCAUUGAUUACGUCCCUGCCCUUUGUACACACCGCCCGUCGCACCUACCGAUUGAAUGGUCCGGUGAAGCCUCGGGAUUGUGGCCAGUUCACUUUAUUGGGAGUUGGCUGUGAGAACUUGUCUAAACCUUAUCAUUUAGAGGAAGGUGAAGUCGUAACA